Molecule: ribosomal RNA, 459 nt
Filed under: uncultured bacterium
Lineage: Bacteria
Description: partial 16S ribosomal RNA
Rfam family: Bacterial small subunit ribosomal RNA
Source: RNAcentral
GAUGAACGCUGGCGGCGCGCCUAACACAUGCAAGUCGAACGGCACCCCUCCUCGGAGGGAAGCGAGUGGCGAACGGCUGAGUAACACGUGGAGAACCUGCCCCCUCCCCCGGGAUAGCCGCCCGAAAGGACGGGUAAUACCGGAUACCCCGGGGUGCCGCAUGGCACCCCGGCUAAAGCCCCGACGGGAGGGGAUGGCUCCGCGGCCCAUCAGGUAGACGGCGGGGUGACGGCCCACCGUGCCGACAACAGGUAGCCGGGUUGAGAGACCGACCGGCCAGAUUGGGACUGAGACACGGCCCAGACUCCUACGGGAGGCAGCAGUGGGGAAUCUUGCGCAAUGGGGGGAACCCUGACGCAGCGACGCCGCGUGCGGGACGGAGGCCUUCGGGUCGGAAACCGCUUUCAGCAGGGAAGAGUCAAGACUGUACCUGCAGAAGAAGCCCCGGCUAACUACGUG